GACGGAUUAGAUAUGGUAAUAACGAAUACAAAGGCCAGAAGAGUGUGUGAAUGGGUUAAGUGCCUUCUAAGCGUUGAGAACGGAAGAGCACACGU
Long non-coding RNA from Lynx canadensis (Canada lynx), 95 nucleotides. RefSeq lists it as uncharacterized. Lineage: Eukaryota; Metazoa; Chordata; Mammalia; Carnivora; Felidae. The transcript is spliced from 4 exons. The record is from RefSeq and is a predicted model, not a curated record.